UGAGGAAUAUUGGGCAAUGCCCGCAAGGGUGACCCAGCAACGCCGCGUGGAGGAUGAAUGUCGUAAGAUUGUAAACUCCUGUUAGAGGGGAAGAAUAGUACCGGUUGGACCGGUAUAUGACUGUACCCUCAGAGAACGCCCCGGCUAACUACGUGCCAGCAGCCGCGGUAAUACGUAGGGGGCAAGCGUUGUCCGGAUUUACUGGGUGUAAAGGGCGCGCAGGCGGGAUAAAAAGUCAGUGGUGAAAUCCUACAGCUUAACUGUAGAACUGCCUUUGAUACUUUUAAUCUUGAGUUCGGGAGAGAGAGACGGAAUUCCAGGUGCAGUGGUGAAAUACGUAGAUAUCUGGAAGAACACCAGUUGCGAAGGCGGUCUCUUGGUCCGACACUGACGCUGAGGCGCGAAAGCGUGGGGAGCAAACA
RNAcentral lists this ribosomal RNA (422 nucleotides) under uncultured bacterium. RNAcentral's name for it is "bacterial SSU rRNA". It matches the Rfam family "Bacterial small subunit ribosomal RNA", at positions 355 to 774 of the family's 1533-position model. The record is from RNAcentral.